ACACUCCUACGGGAGGCAGCAGUGGGGAAUAUUGCACAAUGGGCGCAAGCCUGAUGCAGCCAUGCCGCGUGUAUGAAGAAGGCCUUCGGGUUGUAAAGUACUUUCAGCGGGGAGGAAGGCGAUAAGGUUAAUAACCUUGUCGAUUGACGUUACCCGCAGAAGAAGCACCGGCUAACUCCGUGCCAGCAGCCGCGGUAAUACGGAGGGUGCAAGCGUUAAUCGGAAUUACUGGGCGUAAAGCGCACGCAGGCGGUCUGUCAAGUCGGAUGUGAAAUCCCCGGGCUCAACCUGGGAACUGCAUUCGAAACUGGCAGGCUAGAGUCUUGUAGAGGGGGGUAGAAUUCCAGGUGUAGCGGUGAAAUGCGUAGAGAUCUGGAGGAAUACCGGUGGCGAAGGCGGCCCCCUGGACAAAGACUGACGCUCAGGUGCGAAAGCGUGGGGAGCAAACAGGAUUAGAAACCCUGGUAGUCCCAU
This 474-nucleotide ribosomal RNA is filed under the name uncultured organism. RNAcentral's name for it is "partial 16S ribosomal RNA". It matches the Rfam family "Bacterial small subunit ribosomal RNA", at positions 333 to 798 of the family's 1533-position model. The record is from RNAcentral.